Long non-coding RNA from Athene cunicularia (burrowing owl), 412 nucleotides. RefSeq lists it as uncharacterized. The record is from RefSeq and is a predicted model, not a curated record. NCBI's taxonomy places the organism in Eukaryota, Metazoa, Chordata, Aves, Strigiformes, Strigidae. The transcript is spliced from 3 exons.
AACUGAGGAAUGAUGAGUCCUCGAGUGUCCCACUGAAUGACUGCAGGGCUGGAUCAACUCUGGAUGAGCAGUGAGGAAACCCAGAAAACUGUCCAGCUAUACAGUAAACAUUUUACACUCUGGAGACAGACUCAUAGAAGAAACAUGGGCUGACAUGAAGAGCAACAGCAAAACAAAUGCUGUGAAUAGUGUAGAGAUCGAAGUCAUACAAGGCAGGAAGGAGAAGUAAGAAAUGUGGCUAUUCAACACAGGAUGACUGUGAGCCCUUACUGAGACGUGACCAUGAAAGGAGAAGAUGAUUGAUCCAGGCUUCAACAGCUAGCAUGUUAUUGCCAGUAAUUCAAGAAUCUGUCUAUGCAGUGGGGAUGUAUGACUUGCAGGCAGAAGGCUUCCCCUGCAAUGCUGUAUCAGG